GAGGAAUAUUGGUCAAUGGACGAGAGUCUGAACCAGCCAAGUAGCGUGAAGGAUGAAGGUUCUAUGGAUUGUAAACUUCUUUUAUACGGGAAUAAACGAAUCCACGCGUGGAUUUUUGCAUGUACCGUAUGAAUAAGGAUCGGCUAACUCCGUGCCAGCAGCCGCGGUAAUACGGAGGAUCCGAGCGUUAUCCGGAUUUAUUGGGUUUAAAGGGAGCGUAGAUGGGUUGUUAAGUCAGUUGUGAAAGUUUGCGGCUCAACCGUAAAAUUGCAAUUGAUACUGGCAGUCUUGAGUACAGUUGAGGUAGGCGGAAUUCGUGGUGUAGCGGUGAAAUGCUUAGAUAUCACGAAGAACUCCGAUUGCGAAGGCAGCUUACUGGAUUGUAACUGACGCUGAUGCUCGAAAGUGUGGGUAUCAAACAGGAUUAGAUACCCUGGUAGUCCACACAGUAAACGAUGAAUACUCGCUGUUGGCGAUAUACGGUCAGCGGCCAAGCGAAAGCAUUAAGUAUUCCACCUGGGGAGUACGCCGGCAACGGUGAAACUCAAAGGAAUUGACGGGGGCCCGCACAAGCGGAGGAACAUGUGGUUUAAUUCGAUGAUACGCGAGGAACCUUACCCGGGCUUAAAUUGCAACUGACUGAACCGGAAACGGUUCCUUCUUCGGACAGUUGUGAAGGUGCUGCAUGGUUGUCGUCAGCUCGUGCCGUGAGGUGUCGGCUUAAGUGCCAUAACGAGCGCAACCCUUAUCGAUAGUUACUAGCAGGUCAUGCUGAGGACUCUAUUGAGACUGCCGUCGUAAGAUGUGAGGAAGGUGGGGAUGACGUCAAAUCAGCACGGCCCUUACGUCCGGGGCUACACACGUGUUACAAUGGGGGGUACAGAAGGCAGCUACACGGCGACGUGGUGCUAAUCCCGAAAGCCUCUCUCAGUUCGGAUUGGAGUCUGCAACCCGACUCCAUGAAGCUGGAUUCGCUAGUAAUCGCGCAUCAGCCACGGCGCGGUGAAUACGUUCCCG
RNAcentral lists this ribosomal RNA (1017 nucleotides) under uncultured organism. RNAcentral describes it as "bacterial SSU rRNA". It matches the Rfam family "Bacterial small subunit ribosomal RNA", at positions 356 to 1376 of the family's 1533-position model. The record is from RNAcentral.